AUUGAACGCUGGCGGCAGGCCUAACACAUGCAAGUCGAGCGGAUGAAGGGAGCUUGCUCCUGGAUUCAGCGGCGGACGGGUGAGUAAUGCCUAGGAAUCUGCCUGGUAGUGGGGGAUAACGUCCGGAAACGGGCGCUAAUACCGCAAACGUCCUGAGGGAGAAAGUGGGGGAUCUUCGGACCUCACGCUAUCAGAUGAGCCUAGGUCGGAUUAGCUAGUUGGUGGGGUAAAGGCCUACCAAGGCGACGAUCCGUAACUGGUCUGAGAGGAUGAUCAGUCACACUGGGACUGAGACACGGUCCAGACUCCUACGGAGGGCAGCAGUGGGGAAUAUUGGACAAUGGGCGAAAGCCUGAUCCAGCCAUGCCGCGUGUGUGAAGAAGGUCUUCGGAUUGUAAAGCACUUUAAGUUGGGAGGAAGGGCAGUAAGUUAAUACCUUGCUGUUUUGACGUUACCAACAGAAUAAGCACCGGCUAACUUCGUG
This 484-nucleotide ribosomal RNA is filed under the name uncultured bacterium. RNAcentral describes it as "partial 16S ribosomal RNA". It matches the Rfam family "Bacterial small subunit ribosomal RNA", at positions 30 to 507 of the family's 1533-position model. The record is from RNAcentral.